RNAcentral lists this ribosomal RNA (559 nucleotides) under uncultured Tulasnella. RNAcentral's name for it is "eukaryotic LSU rRNA". The stretch from base 87 to 247 matches the Rfam family "5.8S ribosomal RNA". Lineage: Eukaryota; Fungi; Basidiomycota; Agaricomycetes; Cantharellales; Tulasnellaceae. The record is from RNAcentral.
UUCGCUAUGUUGUGUUAUGCUUUCCAGCACCACACUAAAGACCUAGUUACAUGUUGUCCAUUUGUUGAAAAUAAAUAUGACUUUACAACCGGUAGCAUUGGAUCCCUUGGCACAUCAUUCGAUGAAGAACGUUGCAAAAUGCGAUAAGUGAUGUGAUAUGCAAGUCCAAAACUUAUACGUGAAUCAUCGAGUUUUUGAACGCAUUGCACCCUCCCCACAAGGGAGUGGUAUGCCCCUGUGAGCGCACCUAUACUGUUCGGAUUUCUGCCUUUGCAUAGGUAUGAUCCGGGUUCGGGAUUCAUGGCCAGUCUAUUGUAGACAUGACCACGCUUCUUUAGAUACGCCAAUACAGCCGGAGCUUGUUGUGAGUAGCAAGUUUCUUUGAGCAAAGGCAUCUUCGCUCUAGACUAUAUGUCCAGCAGCAGCACCUCUAGCCUUUAGGCUAGUUGUAAUUGAUUUUGGUGCCUCACUGUGGCAAGACAACCCGCUAGACUUAAGCAUAUUAAUCAGCGGAGGAAAAGAAACUAACCAGGAUUCCCUUAGUAACUGCGAGUGAAGA